UCAGGCGGAUUCGGACCCUCAUUCUCUAACACAGGCAAUAUGUCCAUCCAACCUUUGGACUAAAAGCAACGAUAUUUGCUAUGCAGCUUUUCAUAGAUAAUGUGGUAUGAAGUAAUACUGCAUUCAUGAUAUCUUUCACCUGCCUCUAAAGCUUAUGCAAUAAACACUCUUAUUUGUAGGUGUGGAAGAAGGUGAACUAUCUCGAUCGACUUCUGCAGCUAUUCAGAUAUGUACCUCGCUAGCAAUUGAGCAUUACAGAUUUUGUGUUUCCAUCUGUUCACCGAGUUGUUUGUGAGGCGCUGCAAUGAUGUCUUGCAAACGAAUAUUAUGUGAUGCAUGCAUGAUCUUGAAGUAAAUGGAGAGAAAGGCGUGAUUGUUGAUCCAAGAACAAAACCAAUCUCAAACUGAUUUCGAUUUCACUGAUCACUUCAAUUUACUUUCUUCAGUAUGAGUCUAGAUACUGACUUCAGUAUUGUUUCUAAAGAAGUAAUAAUUUACCACUUGAUGCUUCACAUGUCACUUACAACAUCUGAAAUGCAUACUAUGAAUAACAUGUCCAAUGAAGCAGCUACAAGUUUGAUGACAUGAAAGAAAACAGUGUUUAUAAAUUUAAGAUACCUCAAACAACACAUUGAAAUAGUGACAAGAAAACAGAAUAGAUCCCUCAAACAACACAUUGAAAUAGUGACAAGAAAUAUAAAAAUAUUCUUGUGCAUUAUAGAGGUACAAAUGGUAAAUGAUAGUAGAUGUUAUUAUAAGUUUGACAUUGUAAUUCAAGGAUGGUUGGUGGAGUAACCUGUUCAAAGCUUAUUCCCCUUAUGUCGAAAUCUAAUGCAAAUUAUACAAACUCAAGACUAAAGUCUUCAAGUUCAAGCAAUAAAGCUAUAAAUGUAUGGCACCUCCAAAUCGUCAUGCAACUGAAGAUGUUAUGGGAAGAGUAUAAUAGCAUUUAAUUAGAAUUCUAUUGUAUGGAUCAAAACAACAAAUUAAAUGCACCUAAAACAAACAUAUAUAAGUUUGCAAUCAUAACAAUAUAUUCAGAAUGUCCGGCCAGUAAGACCUAAACUAUAAGUUCGAUAAUAAUCUUUUAACAACUUAACAAAAUAGAACCCUCUUUCAUUUAAAGCUAAAGGAACUAUCAUCCAGUUUUCUUUUACCCAUGGUAUGCUGCAAACUGGUCUACAAAAUUGAGAAGUCGAAAGGUUAAUUUGUAUAUCUAGGAGAAUCCAUGUAAAUAGGACUAAACUCAUAACUCAUUCUCUAUUUCACCAUCUCUAAUAAGUAAUUAGUAGAUGUAGAUGUUUUACACAUUCAUACAUCAAAAGGGCUUUCUGAUCACCACAUGCCAGUUUCCUCAAAGACUUGAUAGAAAAGAUAAUUAACAUUGAAUGCAUCUGAACAUGUCAUAAGCUUGCCUAAAGCCACAAACAGAAAUGAAAGGUGCUGCUAUCAAAUAUCAAUUAGUCAAAACACUCAAAACAACAAAGAAGAAAGUUAACCAUUACUAGAAAAAAUAGANUAAGGAAUUCUCUAGAUACUAUAUAGAAAAUAUCUAUUCUCUAGAAUACCAUACUUGUCCUAGUAUUAUUUAGAAUACUCUAGAUUGAUCUAGCUAGUGGUGAAUUCUCUAGAAUAUACAUAGCUUAUUCUCACUUAGAAUAUUCUAGAUAAAUGCAUCACACUUCAAUAAUAUAUAUGGGCAAAGUAAGAAAACUGUUGUGUAGAAUUGCUUCAUGAAAAUUAGAUCGUUCCACCAACUACACAAAUGAGGUCGCGCUGCAUAAAGCAAAAGAUGAUGAGGAGCACUCACAUCUGUAAUGAUGCAGCUGAGUGGAAAUAAACAAUAGUGUAAGGCUUCUGUAUCACGAUUCACGAACCGAAAGAAAGGUAGAAAAUAAAAAUUCUAAACUAUGGAGCGAGCUAUGAGACGUUACAUAACAUCAGUGGUGGAUUCACUAAAGUCACAAAGUAUAUAAGAAAUGUUCACCUUUACUACGUACAAGACAAAUCGUUCUAGAUCAAGACACCUUAACAGAAAUGUGCUCCGACAACCACCAUAACUCGGUAACUGAAUGGAUACAAGAUAUAUAAUUAUCAAGCUUGCUUUCUUACUUUGCCAAUAUAUGUAAACUGAGCUAUAAAGAAACUAACAACUGCUAUAAAGUAAGUUUUCUUACUUUACGUAUAAAUUUGAGUGAACAGGCAACCGGACCUAGGAUGGAUUAAGAGAUUAGAGCAAAUACUUGGUCGGAAGCACCAACAUAAUCUUCAUGUAUGAGCAAUCUUCCUCUUAACAUUCUGCCGUAGUUGGACAAGCUGUUAGCUACUGAUCCUCUGCUACUAUAACACAGGCAAUAUGUCCUUCAUCCAACCUUUGGACUAAAAGCAGCGAUAUUUGCUAUGCAGCUUUUCAUAGAUAAUGUGGUAUGAAGUAAUACUGCAUUCCUGAUAUCUUUCACCUGCCUCUAAAGCUUAUGCAAUAAACACUCUUAUUUGUAGGUGUGGAAGAAGGUGAACUAUCUCGAUCGACUUCUGCAGCUAUUCAGAUAUGUACGUCGCUAGCAAUUGAGCAUUACAGANNNNNNNNNNNNNNNNNNNNNNNNNNNNNNNNNNNNNNNNNNNNNNNNNNNNNNNNNNNNNNNNNNNNNNNNNNNNNNNNNNNNNNNNNNNNNNNAAGAACAAAACCAAUCUCAAACUGAUCUCGUUUUCACUGAUCACUUCAAUUUACUUUCUUCAGUAUGAGUCUAGAUACUGACUUCAGUAUUGUUUCUAAAGAAGUAACAAUUUACCACUUGAUGCUUCACAUGUCACCUACCGCAUCUGAAAUGCAUACUAUGAAUAACAUGUCCAAUGAAGCAGCUACAAGUUUGAUGACAUGAAAGAAAACAGUGUUUAUAAAUUUAAGAUCCCUCAAACAACACAUUGAAAUAGUGACAAGAAAACAGAAUAGAUCCCUCAAACAACAACAUUAGAAAUAGUAGUACAAGAAAUAUAAAAAUAAUUCUUGUGCAUUAUAGAGGUACAAAUGGUAAAUGAUAGUAGAUGUUAUUAUAAGUUUGACAUUGUAAUUCAAGGAUGGUUGGUGGAGUAACCUGUUCAAAGCUUAUUCCCCUUAUGUCGAAAUCUAAUGCAAAUUAUACAAACUCAAGACUAAAGUCUUCAAGUUCAAGAAAUAAAGCUAUAAAUGUAUGGCAC
This 3195-nucleotide long non-coding RNA is filed under the name Salvia miltiorrhiza (redroot sage). RNAcentral's name for it is "long non-coding RNA (SMIL_LNC010455)". The record is from RNAcentral. Lineage: Eukaryota; Viridiplantae; Streptophyta; Magnoliopsida; Lamiales; Lamiaceae.